CACGUAGUUAGCCGGGGCUUCUUAUUCAGGUACCGUCAUCUAUUUCUUCCCUGUCGAUAGAAGUUUACAUACCGAAAUACUUCUUCCUUCACGCGGCGUUGCUGCAUCAGGGUUCCCCCCAUUGUGCAAUAUUCCCCACUGCUGCCUCCCGUAGGAGUUUGGACCGUGUCUCAGUUCCAAGUGUGGCCGUUCACCCUCUCAGGCCGGCUACUGAUCGUCGCCUUGGUAGGCCGUUGCCCCACCAACUAGCUAAUCAGCCGCGAGCUCCUCCUUAACCAAUAAAUCUUUUCUCACUUAACGAUGCCGCUAUGUGAGCUUAUGCGGUAUUAGCACUAAAUUUCUUUAGUGUUACUCCCCCUAGUUAAAGGCAGUAUUACUCACGUGUUCCUCACCCGUCCGCCGCUAACGUUAUUACAGUGCAAGCAUAAAUAACUUCGCUCGACUUGCAUCGUGUUAAGCGACGCCGCCAGUCGUUCAUCCUGAGCCAAGGACUACCAAAAUCC
Molecule: ribosomal RNA, 503 nt
Filed under: uncultured Robinsoniella sp.
Lineage: Bacteria; Bacillati; Bacillota; Clostridia; Lachnospirales; Lachnospiraceae
Description: partial 16S ribosomal RNA
Source: RNAcentral